GACCAUAUCACGUUGAAACUCCAGUCCCCGUACGAUCCCUGAAGUUAAGCAACGUCGAUCAUUACUUAGAUGGGUGACCGUUUGGUAAUACCAGAUGUUGUAAG
Non-coding RNA from Acanthosepion pharaonis, 104 nucleotides. The record is from the annotation of a GenBank genome assembly. Lineage: Eukaryota; Metazoa; Mollusca; Cephalopoda; Sepiida; Sepiidae.